CACCUCUAGCAUCACCAGUAUUAGAGGUCCGCCUCUUUUUCCAAAAACAUGGUCUUUUGUUUAUAUAAAAGAUCUGGCCUGCCCAAUGAUAUUGUUUAAUGGCUGCAGUAUUUUGACUGUACAAAGGUAGCAUAAUCAUUUGUCUUUUAAUUGAAGUCUGGAACGAAUGGUUGGAUGAAAGGUUUACUUUCUUUAUUUUAAAUAUAAAAUUUAAUUUUUAAAUUAAAAAGUUUAAAUAUUAAUAUAGGACGAGAAGACCCUAUAAACUUUAUUUGUAUGAAAUAUUAAUUAUUUUGUUAAUUAUGAUUUUAUAUAUCUAUAAAUUUUGUCGGGGUGACAAAAAAAAUUUAACUUUUCUUAUUUAUUACAUUUAUGUAUGCGUUUUUGAUCCUUUAUUAUGGAUAAAAAGAAACUACUACCCUAGGGAGAACCGCGUUAUUAUUUUACAGAGUUCAUAUUGAUAAAAAAGUUUGCGACCCCGAUGCUGGAUUAAAAUUAACUUUAGGGGUAUAAUACCACAGUUUAGGACCGUGCCACUUUUAAGUUGUUACCUGAACUGAGUGCAAGUCUGAGAACGAUUAAAGUCCUACGU
This 592-nucleotide ribosomal RNA is filed under the name Telophylus nanutarra. Its description in RNAcentral is "partial large subunit ribosomal RNA". The record is from RNAcentral. Lineage: Eukaryota; Metazoa; Arthropoda; Insecta; Hemiptera; Miridae.